CCUACGGGGGGCAGCAGUGGGGAAUAUUGGACAAUGGGCGAAAGCCUGAUCCAGCCAUGCCGCGUGUGUGAAGAAGGCCUUCGAGUUGUAAAGCACUUUCAGUGGGGAAGAAAGCCUUGGGGCUAAUACCCUCGAGGAAGGACAUCACCCACAGAAGAAGCACCGGCUAACUCCGUGCCAGCAGCCGCGGUAAUACGGAGGGUGCGAGCGUUAAUCGGAAUUACUGGGCGUAAAGCGCGCGUAGGCGGUCUGAUAAGCCGGUUGUGAAAGCCCCGGGCUCAACCUGGGAACGGCAUCCGGAACUGUCAGGCUAGAGUGCAGGAGAGGAAGGUAGAAUUCCCGGUGUAGCGGUGAAAUGCGUAGAGAUCGGGAGGAAUACCAGUGGCGAAGGCGGUCUUCUGGACUGACACUGACGCUGAGGUGCGAAAGCGUGGGUAGCAAACAGGAUUAGAUACCCCAGUAGUC
This 465-nucleotide ribosomal RNA is filed under the name Vreelandella stevensii. RNAcentral's name for it is "partial 16S ribosomal RNA". It matches the Rfam family "Bacterial small subunit ribosomal RNA", at positions 338 to 795 of the family's 1533-position model. Lineage: Bacteria; Pseudomonadati; Pseudomonadota; Gammaproteobacteria; Oceanospirillales; Halomonadaceae. The record is from RNAcentral.